GACGAACGCUGGCGGCGUGCUUAACACAUGCAAGUCGAACGGGUCUGCCCUGUUUUUUGCGGGGUGGGUCAGUGGCGAACGGGUGAGUAACACGUGAGUAACCUGCCCCUCACUUCUGGAUAACCGCUUGAAAGGGUGGCUAAUACGGGGUGUUCUGGCUGUGCCGCAUGGUGUGGCUGGGAAAGAUUCACUUUUGUGGUGUUUUGGUGGGGGAUGGGCUCGCGGCCUAUCAGCUUGUUGGUGGGGUGAUGGCCUGCCAAGGCUUUGACGGGUAGCCGGCCUGAGAGGGUGGGCGGUCACACUGGGACUGAGAUACGGCCCAGACUCCUGCGGGAGGCAGCAGUGGGGGGUAGUGCACAAUGGGCGGAAGCCUGAUGCAGCGACGUCGCGUGAGGGAUGGAGGCCUUCGGGUUGUGAACCUCUUUCGCUGGUGAAGAAGGUCCUGCUCUUUGUGGUGGGGUUGACGGUAGCCGGGUUAUGAAGCGCCGGCUAACUACGUG
This 500-nucleotide ribosomal RNA is filed under the name uncultured bacterium. RNAcentral describes it as "partial 16S ribosomal RNA". It matches the Rfam family "Bacterial small subunit ribosomal RNA", at positions 28 to 507 of the family's 1533-position model. The record is from RNAcentral.